Molecule: RNA transcript, 4759 nt
Organism: Hevea brasiliensis (rubber tree)
Lineage: Eukaryota; Viridiplantae; Streptophyta; Magnoliopsida; Malpighiales; Euphorbiaceae
Gene name: RNA-dependent RNA polymerase 6
Exons: 5
Source: RefSeq, a predicted model, not a curated record
GAAAAAAAGAAAAAUCAUUUGAAGUUAUCCCCAAAACGACAUAGCAGAAAACCAUUACCUUUCGCUCUCCUCCUUUUACUCACCCUUCAUCAGCAAGUAUUCAAUUCCACUGAAAGCUCCACUGUUCAGACAGCCAUAGACCCACUCCGAUCAUACCAACACUCAACACAGAUGCCAUACCCACAAAGGCCUAAUUCUCGUUGUCUUGUGAAGUGUCGACAUUCCAGCUCUCUCGCAUAAGCACAUGUGGAAAGCAUCUCCACCAGCUCGCUCCUCCUCUUCGACACCUGCAGAACCCACGCAAUACCCCUCCUCUUCAAGCUGCUUGCUAGUGUGGAUCUCCAGCAUAGGAAUGGAGACAGAGAAAAGUGAGAAGGAUACAGUGGUAACUCAAGUUAGUAUUGGUGGAUUUGACAUUCAUGUCAAGGCAAAAGAUCUUGUGGCGUAUUUGGAAAAUAAGAUUGGACUUGUUUGGCGGUGUAGACUGAAGACCUCUUGGACCCCCCCAGAGUCCUAUCCAUAUUUUGAGGCAUCUAACACUGCAGACUUCCAAAGAACAGAGAGGUAUAGUAGGAUAGAGCCUCAUGCAUUUGUGCAUUUUGCCUCACCUGAAUCAACUACCUGGGCUAAAGAUGCUGCAGGGCGCUGUGAGCUUUUCUUGAAUGACAGACCUUUGAAAGUUAGUCUGGGGCCUGAAAAUCCAUUUCACAUGAAUCAGAGGAGGAGAACGACAACUCCCUUUAAAUUAUCUGAUGUGGGUAUUGAGAUUGGAACUGUUAAUCAUAAUGAAUUCUUGGUUGGUUGGAGAGGACCUUCUGGGGUUGAUUUUCUUGUGGAUCCUUUUGAUGGGACAUGCAAGUUUUGUUUCACAAGGGAUACUGCCUUCUCCUUGAAAGACACAACUGAGUAUGCAGUGAUUAGAUGUGACUUUAAAUUGGAGUUCCUGGUGAGAGACAUCAAUGAGGUGAAACAAUACACAGAUCGGAGCACUUCAACCCUAGGGAUCCUUUUGCAGCUGGCUUCUGCACCUUCUGUCUGGUAUAGAACUGCUGACGAUGACAUUGAAGUGUCAGUUCCCUUUGAUUUGUUGGAUGACGAUGAUCCUUGGAUCCGGACCACUGAUUUUACACCUAGUGGGGCCAUUGGUCGGUGUAAUUCAUAUCGAGUUUCAGUCCCCCCUCGCCAUGGUGCGAAGUUGAAUAGGGCGUUGAGCUAUCUAAGAGAACAAAGAGUGCAGGUGGAAUUCCUCAAAUUACCUCUUAAGAACUUGAAUGAACCAGAGUAUGGGAUGCCUGUGUCGGAUCCUUUCUUUUGUAUUCAUCACAAGGAAGGGAUAGCUUUUGAGGUAAUGUUCUUGGUGAAUUCUGUCAUGCAUAAAGGAAUAUUCAAUCAACAUCAAUUAUCUGACAGUUUCUUUGAUUUACUGAGAAACAGACCUCUGGACGUUAAUCUGGCAGCAUUGAAGCACAUUUGUUCUUAUAAACGCCCAGUGUUUGAUGCUCAUAAAUGUCUCAAAGCUGUCCAACAAUGGUUACUGAAAAACCCCAAACUUUUCAAGAGCCCUAAACAGCUGGAUGAUAUUGUAGAAAUUAGGCGGUUGGCUAUUACUCCUACCAGAGCAUAUUGCCUUCCACCUGAAGUAGAACUCUCCAAUAGAGUUUUGAGAAAAUAUAAAGACAUUGCCGACCGAUUUCUAAGAGUUACCUUUAUGGAUGAGGGCUUGCAGACAAUCAACGCAAACACUCUCACUUAUUAUGCUGCUCCUAUAGUAAAAGAUAUCACUUCUAACUCUUUCUCUCAGAAGACAAGAGUCUUCAAAAGGGUGAAGGGUAUUCUGACGGAUGGAUUUUAUUUAUGUGGUCGAAGGUACUCAUUUUUGGCCUUCUCAUCCAAUCAAUUGAGGGAUCGUUCUGCAUGGUUUUUUGCUGAAAAUGAGAAUAUUAGCGUUCAUCAAAUCAGAAACUGGAUGGGUAGGUUCACCAAUAAGAACAUUGCAAAAUGUGCUGCUAGGAUGGGCCAGUGUUUCUCCUCUACAUAUGCGACUGUUGAUGUUCCACUAGCAGAGGCUGAUCUUUCCGUUCCUGAUAUUGAAAGGAACGGUUAUACAUUUUCUGAUGGUAUUGGUAUUAUAACGCCAGAUCUUGCAAAGGAAGUUGCAGAAAAGUUGAAAUUGGAUGCUAAUCCACCAUGUGCUUACCAGAUUAGGUACGCAGGAUGUAAAGGGGUUGUGGCUUGCUGGCCAGCCCAGGGUGAUGGGAUUCGCCUGUCUUUGAGGCCCAGUAUGAACAAGUUCCUGUCAAACCACACCACCUUGGAAAUCUGCUCAUGGACCAGGUUUCAGCCUGGUUUUUUAAAUAGGCAGAUUAUUACCUUGCUUUCCACUUUGAAAGUUCAAGAUGAAAUAUUUUGGAAUAUGCAGAUUGCUAUGGUCUCCAAACUAGAUCAGAUGCUCAAGGAUGCCGAUGUAGCAUUUGAUGUUAUCACUGCAUCAUGCACUGAGCAAGGUAAUACUGCAGCAAUAAUGUUGAGUGCAGGUUUCAAGCCUCAAAAGGAACCUCACUUACGAGGCAUGCUAACUUGUAUAAGAGCUGCACAGCUUUGGGGCCUCAGGGAAAAGGCUAGAAUCUUUGUUCCCUCGGGUAGAUGGUUGAUGGGCUGCUUGGACGAGCUAGGGGUGCUUGAGCAAGGUCAGUGCUUUAUCCAAGUGUCUAACCCAUCUUUGGAAAACUGUUUCUCCAAGCAUGGCUCAAGGUUUAGUGAGACGAAGAAACAUCUACAAGUAAUCAAGGGGACUGUGGUGAUAGCUAAGAAUCCUUGUCUUCAUCCUGGAGAUAUAAGGAUCCUGGAAGCAGUUGAUGCUCCUGGACUACACCAUUUACAUGAUUGCCUUAUCUUCCCACAGAAAGGUGACAGGCCCCACACAAAUGAAGCUUCUGGAAGUGACCUUGAUGGAGAUCUGUACUUUGUGACAUGGGAUGAAAAUCUUAUUCCACCAAGUAAGAAGAGCUGGGCACCAAUGCAGUAUGAUGCUACCGAAGCCAAGGUCCUAAAUCGCGCUGUCAGUUAUCAGGAUAUUAUAGAUUUUUUUGCAAGGCAUAUGGUAAAUGAGAAUUUGGGGGCAAUCUGUAAUGCUCAUGUUGUUCAUGCUGACUUGAGUGAAUUUGGGGCUUUGUAUGAGAAUUGCAUAAAACUGGCAGAGUUAGCAGCCACAGCCGUUGACUUUCCAAAGACUGGGAAGCUUGUAACUAUGCCAGCUCAUUUGAAACCAAAAAUGUAUCCAGAUUUUAUGGGGAAGGAAGAUUAUCAGUCCUAUAAGUCAACCAAAAUUUUGGGAAGACUUUAUCGCCAGAUUAAAGAUGCUUAUGAUGAUAAUGUUGAGGCUGCAUCUUCAGAGCUCAUUGUUGUUCCUGGAGAUAUACCUUAUGAUAGGGAUCUCGAGGUUUUUGGAUCAUCUGAUUACAUUUUGGAUGCCUGGGAUCAAAAGUGCUCAUAUGAUGGGCAGCUGAAAGGUCUUCUUGGCCAGUAUAAAGUGAGAAGAGAAGAAGAGGUGGUAACUGGUCACAUUUGGUCCAUGCCAAAGUACAACAGCAGGAAGCAAGGGGAACUGAAAGAGAGGCUCAAGCAAUCUUACAGUGUGCUCAAGAAAGAAUUUAGGCAAGUUUUUGAGAAAUUGGAUUUGGAUUUUGAAGAACUACAAGAUGAUGAGAAAAACUUGCUGUAUGAGCGAAAGGCAUCAGCAUGGUACCAGGUUGCUUACCAUCCCAAAUGGAUAAAAAAGUCAAUGGAGUUGCAAGAGCCUGAUGCUGCUGCCAAUGCAGCAAUGUUGAGCUUUGCUUGGAUCGCAGCUGAUUACCUUGCUCGGAUUAAGAUUAGGUGCAGGGGAAUUGAAGGUGUUGAUACUGCUAAGCCUGUCAACUCACUGGUGAAGUACCUGGCUGAUCGGAUCUGACCAAUAUCUGAGCCCUUAUCUAUUGCAGCUACAUUAUGCUUCUUGGCUGCAAGACCACACUGCCAUUGUUAACAUUGCACAGCAUCGAGUCCCAACUCAAGAAUUAACUCGAUUCAAGCAUUCCAUGAGAUUGCUAAACUUUCAUGUGAGACCGUCCUUUCACCACAGAUUCAUGAAUCAUUGCUUAAGGCGGCAGAAGAAUUGCCAGUGUUAGUCAGUGCGGGUGCUGAAGAUGCCCUUGUCCCUCUCAAGUCCUCUCAAAUCACGGCUUCAGAACUUGAAAUUCUGCAAGUCUCUCCUCCAUUUCACAGCUUCAUGCAUUGUUGGAGUCUGUGUUGGAUCAAAGCAUCAUAGAUUGGCUGCCAUAUCCGGAUGUAGCCAUCUUCCACAUGAGGAAGAGUGCCCCAAGGGAUUACUUGCGGCUAUGUCGCCCUUCAUGAGCAGACUAUUGUUGAGAUCAGAUUUGGAAAACCAAUAGGAUACCCUUCUUUUUAACUUAUCAAUAGGCUUGUGUCUGUUCUAGGCGUUUUUCUUGCUUCACUUGUUUUUGUUGUUUACCUUACCUUUGCUGCCCAGCUCCCUUCUCUUUUUUCUUGUUCCUGUUUUUGUUUUUUCCCAAGCAAUUUACCCUGGCGGAAGAAAAAUACUCUCUCCUUUGGGGUAUUUUUGGUGUUCUCUAUUCUCAAGGCAUUGUCCAAGCCCUGAUUCCCUAGGGUUUUGUACGGCUUAUCACAUGUAUUUUUAAUAUAUUCUCCUUCAAAUUUUCCUUGUGAAGAUCCAAGUAAUUGAAAGCUUGCUGUUUCCCACUCA